UUUACCGAGUAUAACAUCUUGAACACAACCCAUCUCGCCUCAGUUUGGAAGCUAAGUAGGAUCAGGACUGGUUAGUGCCUGGAUAAGAGAUCACCUGGGAAUCCCGGGAGCUGGAAACC
This 119-nucleotide ribosomal RNA is filed under the name Procavia capensis (Cape rock hyrax). The record is from RNAcentral. Lineage: Eukaryota; Metazoa; Chordata; Mammalia; Hyracoidea; Procaviidae.